RNAcentral lists this ribosomal RNA (376 nucleotides) under uncultured bacterium. RNAcentral's name for it is "bacterial SSU rRNA". It matches the Rfam family "Bacterial small subunit ribosomal RNA", at positions 524 to 898 of the family's 1533-position model. The record is from RNAcentral.
UACGGGGGGAGCAAGCGUUGUUCGGAAUUACUGGGCGUAAAGGGCGUCUAGGUGGAAUCGUAAGUCAGAGGUGAAAGCACGCGGCUCAACUGCGUGUCUGCCUUUGAUACUGCGGAUCUUGAGUGUGGAAGGGGUACGGGGAAUUCCCAGUGUAGCGGUGAAAUGCGUAGAUAUUGGGAAGAAUGCCGGCGGCGAAGGCGCCGUACUGGUCUAACACUGACACUGAAGCGCGAAAGCGUGGGGAGCGAACGGGAUUAGAUACCCCGGUAGUCCACGCUGUAAACGAUGGGCACUAGGUGUGGGAGGUAUUGACUCCUCUCGUGCCGAAGCUAACGCAUUAAGUGCCCCGCCUGGGGAGUACGGUCGCAAGGCUGAA